This 158-nucleotide ribosomal RNA is filed under the name Inocybe subfulva. Its description in RNAcentral is "5.8S ribosomal RNA". It matches the Rfam family "5.8S ribosomal RNA". From Rfam's summary of the family: 5.8S ribosomal RNA (5.8S rRNA) is a component of the large subunit of the eukaryotic ribosome. It is transcribed by RNA polymerase I as part of the 45S precursor that also contains 18S and 28S rRNA. Lineage: Eukaryota; Fungi; Basidiomycota; Agaricomycetes; Agaricales; Inocybaceae. The record is from RNAcentral.
CAACUUUCAGCAACGGAUCUCUUGGCUCUUGCAUCGAUGAAGAACGCAGCGAAAUGCGAUAAGUAAUGUGAAUUGCAGAAUUCAGUGAAUCAUCGAAUCUUUGAACGCAUCUUGCGCUCCUUGGUAUUCUGAGGAGCAUGCCUGUUUGAGUGUCAUUA